Molecule: long non-coding RNA, 706 nt
Organism: Mastomys coucha (southern multimammate mouse)
Lineage: Eukaryota; Metazoa; Chordata; Mammalia; Rodentia; Muridae
Exons: 2
Source: RefSeq, a predicted model, not a curated record
AAAGCCCAGAUUGAAAGGAAAAAAAAUCCGGGAAAUAUAGGAGAGGGGAGGCCAAACUGUGGGGAUACCAGCUGGCCUUCACAAAAGAGAUGGUGUCGUCAUCUGUUAUAUUACAACGUCAAGAUCUGGGGUGACAGUCCACACUCACCUGUCACUCAUAAUAGCUGUGUUUAACGAAGAAUGGCUUACCUUUGCUACAUAAAGGAUCUCAGAGGUGAGGAUGACAGAGGGAAGUAAUGAAGUUAUUCGGGAAGAAUGGGCUCAAACUGAGAGAUCAUUUGCACCACUCCUCAGCUGGUGUCUACAAGAUCAGACACAGGUGACACAAAGGGAGAGAUUGUCCCUGAACUUGAGGAUAUCACAGCUUCUCAGUGGAGGACACAGACAACUAUGAGAAAUUUCAAUCUGGGGUAAUGGGUCCAUCAGCCUUCAACAGAAAAGGUCAUGGCUUGCAGGAAGACUCCAAAGAGUGUUGAGAUACCAGAAAAACAGACAGAUGUUCAGGUUCUGGAUGAAGAACUGUCAACCUCUCUGCCACCAUGUCUGCAUGUGUACCGCCAGACUCCUCAUCAUGACAAUAAUGGACUGAACCACUAAGAUUACAAGCAAGCCCCAAUGAAAUGCUUUCUUUUAAAAGAGUUAUUUUGAUCAUGGCGUCUCUUCAUAGUAACAGAACACUGACUAAAACAGUGCCUUUCCUUCUUAA